This is a non-coding RNA of Dermochelys coriacea (leatherback sea turtle), 82 nucleotides long. NCBI's taxonomy places the organism in Eukaryota, Metazoa, Chordata, Testudines, Dermochelyidae. The record is from the annotation of a RefSeq genome assembly.
GCUGUGAUGGCCGAGUGGUUAAGGUGUUGGAUUAGAAAUCCCAUUGGGUUUCCCUGCACAGGUUCAAAUCCUGCUCACAGCG